This 440-nucleotide ribosomal RNA is filed under the name uncultured bacterium. RNAcentral describes it as "partial 16S ribosomal RNA". It matches the Rfam family "Bacterial small subunit ribosomal RNA", at positions 338 to 795 of the family's 1533-position model. The record is from RNAcentral.
CCUACGCGUGGCUGCAGUGGGGAAUAUUGCACAAUGGGGGGAACCCUGAUGCCGCGACGCCGCGUGGGUGAAGGAGUACUUCGGUACGUAAAGCCCUAUCAGCCGGAAAGAAAAUGACGGUACCUGACUAAGCAGCCCCGGCUACCUACGUGACAGCAGCCGCGGUAAUACGUAGGGGGCAAGCGUUAUCCGGAUUUACGGGGUGUAAAGGGAGCGGCGACGGCAGUGCAAGUCCGGAGUGAAAGCCCGGGGCUCAAGCCUGGGACUGCUCUGGAAACUGUAAAGCUGGAGUGCGGGAGGGGCAGGCGGAAUUCCUGGUGUAGCGGUGAAAUGCGUAGAGAUCAGGAGGAACACCGGCGGCGAAGGCGGCCUGCUGGACCGUAACUGACGUUGAGGCUCGAAAGCGUGGGGAGCAAACAGGAUUAGAUACCCUGGUAGUC